CUGCGUCCGGGAGGCGGUUCCCCGUACGUGGCCGGGCAGCCAGGCGCUGCCACAGUCCCAGGGACUGAGCAGGAAACAUACAGCCCUCAUUGCUGUUGGCAGACAUUUGGCUCUACUCUAGAAGGCAGCCUGAGGGCGAAAUUGAUAACUGGGAAGAGGCAGAGCCCAGGCAGCUGCAGAGGAAUGAAGCUGGAGUCCUGAUCAAGGAUCAGAGACAAGUACUAUUAAAGAAGAGUGGAUAAAUGAUAUGGCAGAUAGUAUUGGAAAAAUUCAAGACUUUGAGCAGUGUUAGAGGAAAAAGAGGAUCAUCUGGUGUCUCAUCUCCAUCAAGUGCAUUAUCUGUAUAUAGCAGUUUUUCUCUAGGAAGGAUGGCGGUACCAAGUGGAUGGGAAGAUGUGUUUUCAAGAUCCGUGGAGGAGACAAUCAUAUAAAUCCAGAAUGUGGGACGUUCUAUAAGACAGCUGGCCUGAAUGCUUCAUAAAGGUGUCAGGAGAGACAAACAGACCAAAGAAACAGAAGAGAAAAUCCAGAAACAGACUCAUAUACCUAGUGUUUUAGCUGGUCCUGGAACAUGGCUGAAGAAUAUCUUCAUGGUCCCAGGAACUUGCUGACCAGCACAAAUAGCCUCAUUGCCACCUUCCACAUCUCAUGCAACUAUAUCUAACUGGUGGAAUGGCAUUCUCAUUCAAACUCCCUGCUAUAAGAUACCCUGGGAAAUGUGUGGCUUUUAUCUUUCCAACAUCUCCAACCAGAAAUAGAAUGAAAUUGAAGUUCAAUGAGCAUUAUAUGUAGAAAGGUAUCAUUUGGCAAGAUACAUAAACUUUCUGUCUUUUGUCCAAAAAAUAGGGAGAAUAAUACUUACUUUUCAUGUUAUUGUACAGUUUACAAGAAACAGAGAAACUUAUGCACGAUGAUUAAAGAACUCUCAUUUUGUGUGCAGAAGAGUUAUCCUAGGAUAUAUGCCUAGGAGUGGAACUGCUGGGUUGUAAAUUAUGUAUAUCAUAAACUUUAACAGAUGAUUCCCAAUUAUUUUCCAGUGUUUGUCUAAGUACAAAUUGGUACUGCCCAUGGGUGCUGGUCCUGGGCUGGCUUCUCGCAGGUCCUGCCCAAUUGCCUCACUCUACCACUUGUGAUCUGAGGCAGCAGACAGGGAGUAUAGCUCUUUUAGUCACCAGGUGGCAAGAGCAAUCACUGGGAACCAGGCCGUGUGAACCUGUGUUAAAACAUGGCUGGGCCCAUUUGAUUUACAAUUAUGAAAUAUUUAGACAUUUGAUAUAGGAGCCUCCAUUUGUACUGUUACCCAAGACCCUGAAACAUUAAAGGUAGAUGGGGGUCCAGGCAAAGAGACACACAGUGACAGGUAGAUGUCCAGCCCUUCUUAUGAACUCUGAAAUGCAACACACUGGGUGAUUAAUUUCUCUCUGGUAUGCAGAGUGCAAGCUUGAUGUACACAAGUUGCCAAGUCCCAGAGUUAAAUCUGGAAUAUUCACGUGGAGCUGGAGGCACAAUCUGGGUGGUCACUGUGCUGGUACUUCAGACAUCUGCAUCUGCUCGGCCAUCCGGAGACACAUCUGUUUCUGUUCUCAUCUCAUCUGUUUGAAAUUGUUAAGUCUUCAUGGACUUACACACAGAUUCUAGGAACCAGCUGGUGACAUGAAACACGUUGGACCAUACUUUUAGCACCUUUCUCUAGCACUAUGAAAUGCUUUUAGUGUACAUAACUUCUUAAUGUUUAAAUCACAGUUUCAUCUAGUCAGGGUUACUGCAUCCCAUUUCAUAGCUUUGUCUACCCAGGGAUGAGAAAAAUGCCUUUGGUUGGUUUGUUUUUAAGAAAUCUACAUAAUGUGAAAAUUAUAAACACAAUGGAAGGAUGGGGGUGGGAAGGGCUAGAGGGCCUUAGCUGACCACCCAGGGACUCAAAUUUAAAUGCCUUAGGGGCCAGGAGUGAGCUGGGAGGUGGAUCCAGGGUAAGACAUAGACAAGGAUGAGGAUCACAGUGAUCUGGAGAGUGUCUGCCUCACCUAAAUGUAUUAAAAUCUAGUGUUUGCAACUUUUAGUAAACCUUUUAUAGAACUACAACUUACAGACCAAUAAGCAUACAGCCCAACAGAUUUUCCAAGUGAACUCAUCUGUGUAACUGACAUGCAGAUCAAGAGAUGAACAUUACUGGCAGCCUAGGAAGCCCCCAGGACCCCCUUGAGUCACGCCCUCCUGCCUGUUGCCCUCACCCCCAAAGCACAGCCACUAAUCUGAAUUCUUACACCAUGGACUAGUUAUUCUUGGUUUUGAAUUAUAGAUAGACAGGUAUAGAUGACACAUUUUAUAUUUGGCUUCUUUGACUCAGUUUAUAUUUGGGGUGCUUUUCUAUGUUGU
Molecule: non-coding RNA, 2373 nt
Organism: Microcebus murinus (gray mouse lemur)
Lineage: Eukaryota; Metazoa; Chordata; Mammalia; Primates; Cheirogaleidae
Source: RefSeq, a predicted model, not a curated record